GUGUUAAUCGUCUUUAUAUUGCUAUCAGUAGCUGGUGCUAACACUAGCAGUCCUAAGCUAACAGUAACAGUAUCAGGUGCACUACCUGCAGUAAUGUACGUUCAUAUAAGUUGCAUGUAUUUUAUUUUUCAGAGAGUGAACCAGCUGCAGUUUACUCAGCAGUGAGAAGAAAAGAAGACGUCAGUUAUGGACAAAUAGAGAUCAGUCCGAACAGGAGGAGAGAGCCUCCAGCAGAGCCACAGGUCAUCUACUCUUCACUGAGGUAGACCUUCACACCUUCACACCAGUCCAACCAGUGAAUCCAGCUGGCCUGUCACUGGUCCCCACAGCCCCUCACACCUCAGGACAUUCAUGGGCUUUAUUUCUUAUUUCUAUAUGUGAAAGUUAAAUGAGACUGGUGCAGCUACAGAGAGACAAACAGCUUCACUUUACACAUUAUUGUUUUACUUUUCUUUGGAUAAAUAACUUGUUAAAUACUUAUUUGUUUAGGUGGUAGUGUUUCAGUAGGGUGAAGAACACCGACAUGUUUCUACUGAACAGAAGCUGCUGAUAAUAAUGAACUUUACUGCUCUAAUAUUGAUAUCAAGUGGUGUCUCUGCAGGAUCAAUAAACUCUGGUAUCUCUGCCUGUC
Epinephelus lanceolatus (giant grouper) is the source of this 631-nucleotide non-coding RNA. The record is from RefSeq and is a predicted model, not a curated record. NCBI's taxonomy places the organism in Eukaryota, Metazoa, Chordata, Actinopteri, Perciformes, Serranidae.